This 396-nucleotide ribosomal RNA is filed under the name uncultured bacterium. RNAcentral's name for it is "bacterial SSU rRNA". It matches the Rfam family "Bacterial small subunit ribosomal RNA", at positions 29 to 455 of the family's 1533-position model. The record is from RNAcentral.
AACGAACGCUGGCGGCAGGCCUAACACAUGCAAGUCGAACGAGAUCUUCGGAUCUAGUGGCGGACGGGUGAGUAACGCGUGGGAACGUGCCUUUCACUACGGAAUAGUCCCGGGAAACUGGGUUUAAUACCGUAUACGCCCUUCGGGGGAAAGAAUUUCGGUGAGAGAUCGGCCCGCGUCUGAUUAGGUAGUUGGUGGGGUAAUGGCCUACCAAGCCGACGAUCAGUAGCUGGUUUGAGAGGAUGAUCAGCCACACUGGGACUGAGACACGGCCCAGACUCCUACGGGAGGCAGCAGUGAGGAAUCUUGGACAAUGGGGCAACCCUGAUCCAGCCAUGCCGCGUGAGUGAGAAGGCCCUAGGGUGUAAAGCUCUUUCAGGGAGAUAUGACGUACCU